RNAcentral lists this ribosomal RNA (495 nucleotides) under uncultured bacterium. RNAcentral's name for it is "partial 16S ribosomal RNA". It matches the Rfam family "Bacterial small subunit ribosomal RNA", at positions 28 to 507 of the family's 1533-position model. The record is from RNAcentral.
GACGAACGCUGGCGGCGUGCCUAAUACAUGCAAGUAGAACGCUGAAGGAGGAGCUUGCUUCUCUGGAUGAGUUGCGAACGGGUGAGUAACGCGUAGGUAACCUGCCUGGUAGCGGGGGAUAACUAUUGGAAACGAUAGCUAAUACCGCAUAAGAGUAGAUGUUGCAUGACAUUUGCUUAAAAGGUGCAAUUGCAUCACUACCAGAUGGACCUGCGUUGUAUUAGCUAGUUGGUGGGGUAACGGCUUACCAAGGCGACGAUACAUAGCCGACCUGAGAGGGUGAUCGGCCACACUGGGACUGAGACACGGCCCAGACUCCUACGGGAGGCAGCAGUAGGGAAUCUUCGGCAAUGGACGGAAGUCUGACCGAGCAACGCCGCGUGAGUGAAGAAGGUUUUCGGAUCGGAAAGCUCUGUUGUAAGAGAAGAACGAGUGUGAGAGUGGAAAGUUCACACUGUGACGGUAUCUGACCAGAAAGGGACGGCUAACUACGUG